Molecule: ribosomal RNA, 530 nt
Filed under: uncultured bacterium
Lineage: Bacteria
Description: bacterial SSU rRNA
Rfam family: Bacterial small subunit ribosomal RNA
Source: RNAcentral
AAUAGAUACCCGGGUAGUCCACGCCGUAAACGAUGAGUGCUAAGUGUUAGAGGGUUUCCGCCCUUUAGUGCUGCAGCUAACGCAUUAAGCACUCCGCCUGGGGAGUACGGCCGCAAGGCUGAAACUCAAAGGAAUUGACGGGGGCCCGCACAAGCGGUGGAGCAUGUGGUUUAAUUCGAAGCAACGCGAAGAACCUUACCAGGUCUUGACAUCCUCUGCCAACCCUAGAGAUAGGGCGUUCCCCUUCGGGGGACAGAGUGACAGGUGGUGCAUGGUUGUCGUCAGCUCGUGUCGUGAGAUGUUGGGUUAAGUCCCGCAACGAGCGCAACCCUUGAUCUUAGUUGCCAGCAUUCAGUUGGGCACUCUAAGGUGACUGCCGGUGACAAACCGGAGGAAGGUGGGGAUGGACGUCAAAUCAUCAUGCCCCUUAUGACCUGGGCUACACACGUGCUACAAUGGAUGGUACAAAGAGCAGCGAACCCGCGAGGGUAAGCCAAUCUCAUAAAGCCAUUCUCAGUUCGGAUUGUAGG